UAUUGGACAAUGGGCGAAAGCCUGAUCCAGCAAUGCCGCGUGAGUGAUGAAGGCCUUAGGGUUGUAAAGCUCUUUUACCCGGGAUGAUAAUGACAGUACCGGGAGAAUAAGCUCCGGCUAACUCCGUGCCAGCAGCCGCGGUAAUACGGAGGGAGCUAGCGUUGUUCGGAAUUACUGGGCGUAAAGCGCACGUAGGCGGCUUUGUAAGUUAGAGGUGAAAGCCUGGAGCUCAACUCCAGAAUUGCCUUUGAUACUGCAUCGCUUGAAUCCAGGAGAGGUGAGUGGAAUUCCGAGUGUAGAGGUGAAAUUCGUAGAUAUUCGGAAGAACACCAGUGGCGAAGGCGGCUCACUGGACUGGUAUUGACGCUGAGGUGCGGAA
RNAcentral lists this ribosomal RNA (379 nucleotides) under uncultured bacterium. RNAcentral's name for it is "bacterial SSU rRNA". It matches the Rfam family "Bacterial small subunit ribosomal RNA", at positions 362 to 758 of the family's 1533-position model. The record is from RNAcentral.